RNAcentral lists this ribosomal RNA (525 nucleotides) under Triticum aestivum (bread wheat). RNAcentral describes it as "partial small subunit ribosomal RNA". Lineage: Eukaryota; Viridiplantae; Streptophyta; Magnoliopsida; Poales; Poaceae. The record is from RNAcentral.
AUGCUUGGAUAUAAAAAGGAUUCGCACUCCUAUAGAGUCUUCAAUCUCUUUCAUUAUAAAGUGGUUGAAACAGUGGAUGUGCGGUUUGAUAAGACUAACGGUUCACAAAGAGAGCACCUCCCAAAUGUGCUAGAUGAAGUUCCAUCCAGCGAAUCAAUCAAGUUUAUGGGAACCGGAAAAAUUAUACCCUCUGAAGCUCAACCUGAAGAGGAACUUAUCAUCUCCGCACCUGAUCAACCUGAAAACAAUCCCACUAACAAUGACAAUGAUCAGCAAGAGCAAAACCUUCGCCUUCUACAUCCUCGUGUUGCCAAUGAAGUGCAGAUUGAGAGAAUAAUUGACAGCAUUAAUGCACCCGGUCCGCUCACUCGAUCAAGGGCAACUCGGCUAGCAAAUUUCUGUGGGCACUUCGCAUUCGUCUCAAUUACAAAACCCAAGAAAAUUGAAGAAGCCUUCAUGGAACCUGAAUUGAUUCAAGCUAUGCAAGAAGAGCUUCAACAGUUUGAGCUGAAUAAUGUAUGGUAA